Molecule: RNA transcript, 1715 nt
Organism: Phlebotomus argentipes
Lineage: Eukaryota; Metazoa; Arthropoda; Insecta; Diptera; Psychodidae
Gene: bmm
Gene name: patatin-like phospholipase domain-containing protein 2
Exons: 6
Source: RefSeq, a predicted model, not a curated record
GCUUGGUCAAACAACGGCUGGUCAGUUGAACAUUUUCCGUUGACGAGGAAAGAAGCACACGGUGAAGAGUCUCCUGACAAGGGAAUCAAGUGAUUUGAGAACUGCAAUUAGACGCUUGUCAUCUCGUGCAUAUUACUUUCCGGAGAGAGAGAAGACACUUGAGCUAGAACUUUGGGAUUCGGUGGAAGAUGAAUUUGUCCUUUGCUGGCUGUGGCUUCCUGGGAAUUUAUCACAUUGGUGUGGCUAUUUGUUUCAAACAGUAUGCGCCUCAUCUGCUGCUCGACAAAAUCAGUGGUGCUUCUGCUGGCUCUCUAGCUGCCGUUGGAUUACUAUGCGACCUGCCGCUCACCGAGAUGACCUCAGAGAUGCUGAGGAUCUCAAUGGUGGCGCGAUCGCACAAGCUCGGCCCCUUCAGUCCGCGCUUCAACAUCAACAACAUCCUGCUGGAGGGUCUGCACAAAUUCCUGCCCGAGGACGCCCACCUGAGAGUGAAUGGACGCCUUCAUGUGUCCCUGACGCGCGUAUGUGAUGGCCAAAAUGUGAUCGUGUCCCACUUCAGCAGCCGCGAGGAGCUCUUCCAGGCCCUCCUGUGCGCCUGCUUCAUCCCCGUGUUCUCGGGCUUCCUGCCGCCGCGUUUCCAUGGCGUGCGCUACAUGGACGGCGGCUUCUCCGACAAUCUGCCCACCAUCAAUGAGAACACCAUUACAGUCAGUCCCUUCUGUGGUGAAAGUGAUAUUUGUCCCAGGGACAAGAGCUCGCAGCUCUUCCACAUCAACUUCGCCAAUACGAGUAUAGAAUUGUCGCGAGCGAACAUGAAUCGCUUCUCCUACAUCCUAAUGCCACCCAAGGCGGAGAUCCUGUCCAAUAUUUGUCAGCAGGGCUUCGACGACGCCCUGCGCUUCCUGCAGCGCAACAAUCUCAUCAACUGCAACCGAUGCAUCUCGGUGCAGACGCAGAUCACGGUUAAGGACACGCAGGAGUACAUGAUGGAGGACUACGAUCCUGAGUGCAAGGACUGCACGGAGCACAGGAAGCAUGCUUCCAGGGCGAACCUGCCGGACACGGUGGUACACGUGCUCCAGUCGGCGAUCGAUUCGGCCAACAAGGGUAUCGUGUCGUGGCUAUUCAAGCACAAACUGCCCACAAUGCUGCGAAAGAUCACAUCCUUCCUGCCUUCUGUGUUGCCCUCCUCACUCACAAAACUGAGGAGAAGACUACUAACACACACUCGCCUCGAGAAGCUCCUCAUCGACCUGCCUCACAAAUGGGGAUUUCUUUACCGUUUCCUUGCAGAGAAGUCUACUGGGAUGAUGAGGAUCUUGAAGAAACUCCGCCGGAGAUUCAGAUUGAAAAGACCAUAUAGGAUCGCGAGAGCUCUCCUCCACUUAACCGGCCAAAUGACAUUAAUAUAAGUUAAUGCGAUAAGAUGAGAAAGACUUGAAAAUAUUUUUUAAUCAACUCAUGUGACAUUUCCAAGAAGAUCAACACAUUUUCACGAUAAUUCUUUUUCUAUUCUUGUACAUGACCAAGGUAUUCGAGGUGGAAAUCAUUUUUAUAGACAAUUUUCUUAAGAAUCUUCUGACUAUGAGAUUUUACAAGUCAUUGAAAGUGACACAAGUUCAAUGAUCCUGUAUUAUAAUGUAUUAGACUGAAAUAAAUGAAAUACAGAAAAAAGAGUGUAAUCUUGGAGAAAUUUGUGCGUGGGUCAAUGUCAA